AGUGAACGCUGGCGGUAGGCCUAACACAUGCAAGUCGAACGGCAGCACAGUAAGAGCUUGCUCUUACGGGUGGCGAGUGGCGGACGGGUGAGGAAUACAUCGGAAUCUACUUUUUCGUGGGGGAUAACGUAGGGAAACUUACGCUAAUACCGCAUACGACCUACGGGUGAAAGCAGGGGAUCUUCGGACCUUGCGCGAUUGAAUGAGCCGAUGUCGGAUUAGCUAGUUGGCGGGGUAAAGGCCCACCAAGGCGACGAUCCGUAGCUGGUCUGAGAGGAUGAUCGGCCACACUGGAACUGAGACUCGGUCCAGGCUCCUACGGGAGGCAGCAGUGGGGAAUAUUGGACAAUGGGCGCAAGCCUGAUCCAGCCAUACCGCGUGGGUGAAGAAGGCCUUCGGGUUGUAAAGCCCUUUUGUUGGGAAAGAAAAGCAGCAGGUUAAUACCCCGCUGUUCUGACGGUACCCAAAGAAUAAGCACCGGCUAACUUCGUG
This 492-nucleotide ribosomal RNA is filed under the name uncultured bacterium. RNAcentral's name for it is "partial 16S ribosomal RNA". It matches the Rfam family "Bacterial small subunit ribosomal RNA", at positions 29 to 507 of the family's 1533-position model. The record is from RNAcentral.